CGGGACGGGUGAGUAACGCGUGGGUAACCUGCCUCAUACAGGGGGAUAACAGUUAGAAAUGACUGCUAAUACCGCAUAAGACCACAGCACCACAUGGUGCAGGGGUAAAAACUGAGGUGGUACAAGAUGGGCCCGCGUCUGAUUAGCUGGUUGGUGAGGUAACGGCUCACCAAGGCGACGAUCAGUAGCCGACCUGAGAGGGUGACCGGCCACAUUGGGACUGAGACACGGCCCAA
RNAcentral lists this ribosomal RNA (236 nucleotides) under uncultured bacterium. RNAcentral's name for it is "partial 16S ribosomal RNA". It matches the Rfam family "Bacterial small subunit ribosomal RNA", at positions 100 to 334 of the family's 1533-position model. The record is from RNAcentral.